CCUACGGGAGGCAGCAGUGGGGAAUUUUGGACAAUGGGCGCAAGCCUGAUCCAGCCAUGCCGCGUGCAGGAUGAAGGCCUUCGGGUUGUAAACUGCUUUUGUACGGAACGAAAAGCCUUCUUCUAAUACAGGAGGGUCAUGACGGUACCGUAAGAAUAAGCACCGGCUAACUACGUGCCAGCAGCCGCGGUAAUACGUAGGGUGCGAGCGUUAAUCGGAAUUACUGGGCGUAAAGCGUGCGCAGGCGGUUUUGUAAGACAGAGGUGAAAUCCCCGGGCUCAACCUGGGAACUGCCUUUGUGACUGCAAGGCUGGAGUGCGGCAGAGGGGGAUGGAAUUCCGCGUGUAGCAGUGAAAUGCGUAGAUAUGCGGAGGAACACCGAUGGCGAAGGCAAUCCCCUGGGCCUGCACUGACGCUCAUGCACGAAAGCGUGGGGAGCAAACAGGAUUAGAUACCCUGGUAGUCCACGCCCUAAACGAUGUCAACUGGUUGUUGGGUCUUCACUGACUCAGUAACGAAGCUAACGCGUGAAGUUGACCGCCUGGGGAGUACGGCCGCAAGGUUGAAACGUCAAAUGAAUUGACGG
This 586-nucleotide ribosomal RNA is filed under the name uncultured bacterium. RNAcentral's name for it is "bacterial SSU rRNA". It matches the Rfam family "Bacterial small subunit ribosomal RNA", at positions 338 to 916 of the family's 1533-position model. The record is from RNAcentral.